Metopolophium dirhodum (rose-grain aphid) is the source of this 2191-nucleotide RNA transcript. It is a transcript of the gene named palmitoyltransferase ZDHHC16B, with no coding region annotated. The record is from RefSeq and is a predicted model, not a curated record. Lineage: Eukaryota; Metazoa; Arthropoda; Insecta; Hemiptera; Aphididae. The transcript is spliced from 11 exons.
CUGAUUAUAACAAUCGAUGAUUUAAAAUUAAAAAUUUGAAAAAGAAUAAUCAUAAAUGACUAAAGACUUGAAAGUUUAAACUUCAAUAAUCGACAAAAAUUGCAAAUAACUAUAUAUUUACUAUAGCUUGUCCGAUGACGACGUCGACUCAUGAUUUUAAGCUCUUGUAGUUUGUUGAUCACAAUACAUAUUAUUCAUUGAUUAAUUAUUAAUAUGUCUAUUUUAAGGAUGAUAAAAACAAAAUUUAAGAAUUCAUGGUAUCGUUUUAAAAAUUAUUUCUUCAAUUAUGUAUAUACUCAAAAUGUAACCUAUGAACAUACGUGUGAUAUAUUACUGGAGCCCUUAUUUAAAAUUGUUGACAAAUAUACUGCCAUUUUUGGAAAAAUUAUGGUUAUUCUAGUGAUUGUAUUAACGACAUUUGUUGUUGUCAUAGCUUACUGGAUUGGUGUACCAUAUUGGUGGAAUAAUAAUAAACUUUUAACAGUAUUCUUGUUAAUAUUUGGAAAUUGGUUAUUAAUAAAUGUUAUAUUUCAUUAUUACAUGGGAGUUACUACACCACCUGGAUUUCCUACUUCAAACUGUUUGAUAUAUAAUGAUGUAACCAUUUGUAAGAAAUGUGAUUCUCCAAAGCCACCCCGUACACACCAUUGUUCAAUUUGCAACACGUGCAUCCUCAAAAUGGAUCAUCAUUGUCCUUGGAUAAACAAUUGUGUUGGAUUUUAUAACCAUCGUUACUUUUUUCUCUACAUGGUCUACAUGACAUUAGGUUCAUUAUUUUUGAUAACAUUUGGAGCAGACAUAGUUUUCACAGAAGUUUUCUAUAAAGAAGAAGAUCCAGUAGGGCAUCCAGUUAAAGUCAAUACUUCUUUACCAAAAGCAGAUUGGGUUUUAACAUUUCAAGAUGAAUAUGAAAACCACAAUUUUGAUAUUGAUCAUGUUGCAGAAUGGAGAUUUUGGUGUAUUAUGGUCAUAACUUUUAUAACAUGUGGAGUAUUUAUCGCGUUAGCUAUUUUAACCACGUGGCAUGGUCUAUUAAUAAGUUAUGGCGAAACAAGCAUUGAAGGGCAUAUAAAUAAAUUUGAAACAGAAAGAUUGUCAGCUAUAAACUUUGAAUAUGUUAAUGUUUAUGAUUAUGGUAUGAAAAUGAAUUGGAUUAUCUUCCUUGGACUACACAGUGGAAGAAAUUGGAGACAUAUUGUAUUUCCUUCAACUCAUAAACCUAUAGGAAACGGAUUCAUAUGGCCAACCAAAAAUGAUAUAUUUGAAGUGUUUUAUUAUUAUAAACAGUAAAUAUGUAAUGGCCAAACAAUUUGUUCUAUCCAAGGUAAAAAUGCUGAAACUUUAGUGUAUACACCUGGUGAAUUUUCUGUUGCACACAAUUUUCCAAAUGAUGUUAUCCCAAUUAAAUUGAAAACACAUGCAUUUUUCUCUGAUUUUACUACGAGUGGUCCGCCAGAAUCACCCUAAAUAAAUUUCAGAACGUGAAUCAACUAUGCUUAUACCACUCACUAAGAUAAAAUUCUAUCUUUGUCCGUAUGGUAAAAUGGCAAAAAAAUCGGUUUUUUCCAGGCGGCGAGUCCCCUUUACAGCUAAUGGGUGUAUCCUCAUCUAGGACCCUCUGUAUAUAAUAUUGAAAUGAGCAAAAACAAGACAAUGUCUUUAUAUCUAAUUUUUUUAGAUUCUGAGCAGUAUGUUAGUACUAAUUAGAGGGAGCAAUGAAUUAUGUAAUAUGUAACUUAUUAGCUUUAAACAAUUUUAAUCAGUAAAAAAAAAAAUUGAAUAGGUAUUUUAAAUUUUUAUAUUUAUUUUUUUUUAAGUUAAAAUAUUUAUUGAUACAUGUUUAACAGCUUGUUAAAAUAAUUUUAAUAUUUUAUUAGAUAUAUCAUUAAAUUCUCACUAACAAAUAGAUAAUAAUAUAGAUAUGUAUAUUGUAUAUACGCUAUAUUAUUUCCUGUGUGAAUCAUUUAUCGAAAAUUUGCAACUAUAUACACUUCUGUAUCCUAAAUAUAUUAUUAUACAUUACAGGAAAUUGUGUGAUUGAUUUUAUUUUAUUUUUAAAAAAAAUUUUCGCAGUUAUUACGCAAAUGGCAAGUCCUGUUUUUACCAAAUGAUACCAUGGUACCAAACAUUCAGCUAGUCUUAUAUAAAUAUAGACCUUAGUCCAAUUACAAUGUUAACACUAUGUCACUAU